CGCAUGUGAUGUGUAAGUGAAUUAAAAAUGUGAAUGAAGUGAAAAAUCACUGAAAAAGAAUGGCGCAUCCCCUUCAUUUAAUCAGAGAUACACUAAUCGUCGACGUACCAACUAUAGCAUUCUGCCAUCGUAUCAUCCAUAACAACGAUUAAUACUGAAAUCACCCUAUCAUGCAACGCUGCAAUCGCAAAGAUUUCUCAACAACAGCAUCUCAAUAAGUGAUUGUAACAAUAUCAACCAACGAUCACUUCAGCCCUACUUCAAGCAACAAAACCAAGCUCACGCAAAAAUUUAAAAAAACAACAUCUCUAAAUUUAUAAAAAAAAAGUAAUUUUGAAAAAUAAAAUAAUUUUAAUGUUCUAAAAAAUAUUUAGGUAUAAACUCUUCAUUAACAUUCAACGUCUCUA
Lutzomyia longipalpis is the source of this 407-nucleotide long non-coding RNA. RefSeq lists it as uncharacterized. The record is from RefSeq and is a predicted model, not a curated record. NCBI's taxonomy places the organism in Eukaryota, Metazoa, Arthropoda, Insecta, Diptera, Psychodidae. The transcript is spliced from 3 exons.